UUUUUGGUCUUUAAAUUAUUUUUUAGAAUAAGUUAAAUAAUCUCGUAGGAAAAAUAUGUUAUCCUACCAAAUUAUAAAUAUCAAAAUCAGUUGUGCACUGUUUGGAUGCAUAAAUAUCUUGCUCGGCAUAUCUCUAUGAUUUACUUUGAAUUAAUAGCUUGUACAUUUGAUCAAAAUUUAGAAUUGGAUAUUAUAUUUAGUUUUCAAGUUAUUUUUUUAAUAAAAUAAAUCACCUCGUAGAUGAUAUAUUCUAUCAUACCAAAUUAUAGAUAUCAAGACCUUUCGAGUAAAAAUCAAACCCCUUUCCUACAAUCACACUAAAAACUUUUUGAACUGAAUAAAUUAUUGAGUGAUAACUUUUCCGACUUUCAAACAGUGCCUUACGGAGCAAAAAUAAAACUCCUAUCUUUCAACUACACAAUGAAAAUUUCAUAACGAAAAAUACUCUUUGUAUUUGACCCUUCUUAAUUACCUCUCCAAAAAAAUUAUAGUA
Molecule: long non-coding RNA, 493 nt
Filed under: Ananas comosus (pineapple)
Lineage: Eukaryota; Viridiplantae; Streptophyta; Magnoliopsida; Poales; Bromeliaceae
Description: long non-coding RNA (ACOM_LNC029721)
Source: RNAcentral